RNAcentral lists this ribosomal RNA (255 nucleotides) under uncultured bacterium. RNAcentral describes it as "partial 16S ribosomal RNA". It matches the Rfam family "Bacterial small subunit ribosomal RNA", at positions 524 to 776 of the family's 1533-position model. The record is from RNAcentral.
UACAGAGACCUCAAGCGUUAUCCGGAAUCAUUGGGCGUAAAGCGUACCGAUAGGUGGUUUGGUUAGUCUUGGGUGAAAUCCCGAAGCUCAACUUCGGGUUUGCUUAAGAUACUGCCAGACUAGAGGGGCAAAGAGGAGACUGGAACGAACGGUGUAGUAGUGAAAUGCGUUGAUAUCGUUCGGAACACCAGUGGCGAAGGCGGGUCUCUGGGCAAUUCCUGACGCUGAGGCGCGAAAGCGUGGGGAGCAAACGGG